This is a long non-coding RNA of Papio anubis (olive baboon), 2272 nucleotides long. The record is from Ensembl. Lineage: Eukaryota; Metazoa; Chordata; Mammalia; Primates; Cercopithecidae.
CAGGGUAAUAAAUUCUCAGAAGAAUUGUGAAAUGCUCCAAGAGUGUGUAAUAGGAGAUGCCUCCUAACUAGGAGGCUAGAAAAGGCUUCCCUUAGCGUAGUGGGAGUGCCGUGGGGAAGCCCGGAGCCCUGGCUACAGCCCUGCACCCACUCUGGCUACUGCUUGGUUGGUUUUGCUUUCCCCGGGCCUGCCGAUUUUACAGUUAACUCCUUCCUCCAUAUCCUAAGCUUCCAAAACAAGGUUAUCCCUUCUUUAGGUAAAAGCAUUAAAAUUUUCCUAGUAUUAAGUCCCCCAAGCAAUCUAACUAAAAGAUCGAAUCUCAAAAUAGAAAAGUCCCUUAUACCACAAUGAAGGCUGGAGGAAAACUCCAGGGAUCCCUGCACACCACUCAGGGCAGCAUGCCUUCCUCUCCAGGCCACCCUGGGCUCUGGGGAAGGCUGUCAGACUCCCUCCCCUUCCUGUGUACUGAGCUCCUGACUACAGUCUUGUGUCAGUUUUGCUUUUUAAAAGGGACAAGCAAACAGGAAUCUUCCCCAUGCCUACCCUCACUCACGCACACACAGUGGGCCUGGCUGUCAUUUCGUCCUGGGAUCUGAUCUCUGUUUUAUGCUCCUGCUUGUUGAUUCUGACCCAGAUAAGCCACGCAGGGAAAAGCCAUCUCCCUGCUCCUUGCUUCGGGGGAGCAGAGUCAUUUUCACACACACAAACACCCUGUGCCCCAGCUGCCUGCUUUCAGAGGCGGCUCGCUUGUGGCCAGACAGCCGAAGACCAGGCAGGGCCCGGCCUCUGUUCUCAGGUCUCAGCAGUGAUUAUGCAUGCGAGCUGUGCAUCAUGAGAAGACACUGGUUGGCGUGUGUGAACUGAUUUGCAGGACAAAGGACCCUAGAGUACUAGGCUGGGCCAGACAGUGAUGGUGACUCACGCUGUCUUUGCAAGGCAGUGCAUAAACCGAGAGCGAGACAGAAGUUCUUCCUCCCCACUUCACCCCCUGGCUUUACUGAGAUGUAAUUGACAAAUACACUUGUAUACAGUUAAUCGUACAAUGUGAUGAUUUGAUGCAUGUGCCUAUCGUGAAGUGACUGCCAAGAUGAAGCUAAUCGGCACUUCCACUGCCUCACAUGGUUACCAUUAGUUUUGUGUGUGUGAGGACACUUCAGAUCUGCUCUCUUAGCACAUUUUCAACAUACAGUACGGCAUUGUUAACUAUAGUUACCAUGCUGUUCAUGGAUCCUCAGAACGUGUUUAUCUUAUCACUGAAAAUUUGUACCCUUUGACCAAAAUCCACACACUUUUUUCCUACUCCCCAGCCCCAGGUAACUGCCCUUCUACUUUCUGCUUCUAAGAGGUCAACUUCAUUAGAGUCUGGUGCAUAUAUAUGUACUAUGGAGUAGUAUUCAGCCUUAAAAAAGAAGGACAUCCUGCCGUUUGUGACAAAGGGGCAAAUUCAGAGGGCAGUGUGCUAAGUGAAAGAUGCCAGACAAGACAGACAAAUACCGGAGGGCUGUUCUUGAGACUCGGAACAGGAAGAAGUCACCCUUGACACAGAGCCCUUCCUGUGGCCGGAAGAAGCUGAAGGCAAAGAGGGCAGGUGGACCGUCCAGGUGAGCGGCACCUGACUGCCCGGUGUACAGCAAGCUUGGCCUGGGGCAGCAGGGCUGAUUGUGCAACCCAGCUUUUGGCUUCUCAGAGGCCCUGGAACAGUGCGCAUUCCCUGGUGGUUUGAAAUCUGAGAGCUGGAAAGAGCUUUCUCCCUUUGCUUUUGUGUCAGCUCACUUCCUUGAAGAAGGUCCAUCAUCGCAAUGUUUUCUUUGGGUCCUGCUUACAGGAUCUGGGCUUGUUUUGUUUUUCUUCUUGUUGUGUAGGGAGUGACCAGGGUGGGAAAGCAAUGUCCCUUGUAAUUGUUGGGGUUUGUGCUUCUCUUGUAAACCCUUGGGCUCAAGACCAAUGGUCUGCAGUAUAAUGAGACUCGGCCAGGCCCUGCUCCCUGGAGAGGGAGACAGAGGGACCAUGCUGGUAACUUCCUUAACAUCAUUCAAAGGAAAGCCCAGUUUUUGUUUUCUCCUAAAGUGAAACUGCGGCUCUAGGUGAAAGGUACCUUGUAACUCCAUGGAUCUCUGUCUUCCACCUUCUCAUUUCCCUUCUUCCUCUUCCUUUCUUUUGCCUUUUUCCCUUUCCUUAUUUCUAUGUUCCAUAAUCUGGAAGAUCCCAUAUAUUUUCCAACUUUCCUAUUGUUUCCAAGAAUUUGCAUUAAAAGUAGCUGCUACAGUUCCUC